RNAcentral lists this long non-coding RNA (1053 nucleotides) under Anas platyrhynchos platyrhynchos (common mallard). RNAcentral describes it as "lncRNA (ENSAPLG00000027388.1)". Lineage: Eukaryota; Metazoa; Chordata; Aves; Anseriformes; Anatidae. The record is from RNAcentral.
UCCCCCACCCCCCUUCCAGAGCCGCGGGGGCUGCUGGGAAAAGGGGGCGGGAGGGCGGAAGUGACGUCAGGGGGCGGCUUCGAGGGCCCGCCCACCGCGGUGCGUCACUUCCUGGGGGGAGGGGAGGGGGAAAAGGAGGGGAAGGAGGGGCUGGGAGGGACUGGGAGGGACUGGGAGCACUGGGAAGGGAUUGGAGGGGACUAGGAAGGACUGGGAGGGACUGGGAAGGACUGGGAGGGGACUGGGAGAGGACUGGGAGGGGAUUGGAGGGACUGGGAGGGGACUGGGACCAGUAUAGGAGGGGACUGGGAGUAUUGGGAGGGACUGGGAGGGACUGGGAAGGGAUUGGAGGGGACUGGGAAGGACUGGGAGGGGACUGGGAGGGACUGGGAGGGGAUUGGAGGGACUGGGCGGGGACUGGGAGGCACUGGGACCAGUAUAGGAGGGGACUGGGGGGCACUGGGAUGAACUGGGAUGAACUGGGAGGGGACUGGGCGGAGCCAGUGGCCUACUGGGAGGGCACUGGGAGCACUGGGAGGCCCUGAGGCCUCCCCCCUCCGUCUCCUAGCAACGGGAGGCCCCGCCCCUAGCAACGGAGGCCACGCCCCUUAGCAACGAUUGGCCAAGCCCCCGUCUCCUAGCAACGCCUGGCCCCGCCCCCUCGUCUCCUAGCAACGCCCAUCACGUGACCCCCGCCAGCCCCCUCCGUCUCCUAGCAACGCGCGGCCCCUCCCCUCCCCUAGCAACGCCCGGCUACGCCCCUUCGUCUCCUAGCAACGCGCGUCACGUGACCCCCGCCAACCCCUCCGUCUCCUAGCAACGCCCGGCCCCGCCCCCUCGUCUCCUAGCAACGCGCGUCACGUGACUCCCCCCUAUAAAACCCACCCCCCGGCUUCCGGUGACGCCACUUCCGGCGCGGCGCCCGAUGGCGGAGGCAGCUCCCGGCGCCGCUCCCGCUCCCCUCCAGGCCCCGGGCCCGGACGGAGCCGCCGAGGGGGGGCGGGGCCGGAGCCCCCCGGGGGAGGCGGGGCCUGGGCGUGGCCCCGCCCCCUC